GGGUAGGCGCGUACCUAAUCAUGCAAGUCGAGCGAACUGAUUAGAAAUCGUGCUUCUAUGACGUUAGCGGCGGAUGGGUGAGUAACACGUGGGCAACCUGCCUGGAGGAAUGGGAUAACUUCGGGAAACCUAAUCUAAUACCGGAUAGGAUCUUCUCCUUCAUGGAUCAUGAUUGAAAGAUGGUUUCGGCUAUCCCUUACCGAUGGGCCCGCGGUGCAUUAUCUAGGUGGUGAGGUAACAGCUCACCAAGGUGACCAUGCAUAACCAACCUGAGAGGGUGAUCUGCCACACUGGGACUGAGACACGGCCCAGACUCCUACGGGAGGCAGCAAUAAGGAAUCUUCCCCAGUGGACGAAAUUCUGACGGAGCAACGCCGCGUGAGUGAUCAAGGCUUUCUGGUCUAGAACUCUGUUGUUAGGGAAGAACACCUGUGAGAUUAACUGCUCGUACCUUGACGGUACCUAGCCAGAAACCCGCCGCUAACUACGUGCCAGCAACCGCUGUAAUACUUAAGUGGCAAGCGUUAUCCUGAAUUAUUGGGCGUAAACCGCGCGCAUGCGGUUUCUUAACUCUGAUGUGAAACCCCACGGCUCAUCCGUGAAUGGUCAUUGAAAACUGGGGAACUUGAAUGCAAAAUACAAAAGCGGAAUUCCACGUGUAACGUUGAAAUGCGUACACAUGUGGAGGAACACCCUUGGCGAACGCAGCUUUUUGGUCUGUAACUGACGCUUAGGCGCGAAAGCGUGGGGAGCACACAGGGAUUACAAACCUGG
RNAcentral lists this ribosomal RNA (774 nucleotides) under Priestia megaterium. RNAcentral describes it as "bacterial SSU rRNA". It matches the Rfam family "Bacterial small subunit ribosomal RNA", at positions 35 to 790 of the family's 1533-position model. Lineage: Bacteria; Bacillati; Bacillota; Bacilli; Caryophanales; Bacillaceae. The record is from RNAcentral.